Delphinapterus leucas (beluga whale) is the source of this 4549-nucleotide non-coding RNA. The record is from RefSeq and is a predicted model, not a curated record. NCBI's taxonomy places the organism in Eukaryota, Metazoa, Chordata, Mammalia, Artiodactyla, Monodontidae.
CAGCCCUCUCGCUGGAGCUGCAGGUGCGCAGAGGGUAGGAGAGGCUGCAUGUGCCCCUGCCUUAAGAGCAUCAGGUGUGGUGUAGGAUUGACUGACUUGCAGAAACCUUGGACAAAGGACUUCCCCACUCUGUGCUUUUUCAUCUGUUAAAUUGGGAUGACAGAGUCCUCAUAGCUCCUAGAAGCGCUGUGAGCUAACCCACAAAAGGCACUCACUCAGCUUUGCGCCUGUGAUGUCAGAAAGCAGUUGCCGCUAAGCGCCACGUGACCGUGAACUUCCUGAGAGCAGGGGCGUUGUUUUCUUCCUCUGGCUGGGGUGGAGCUGGCCUCCAGAACACUUCAGAAAGACCCGGCGAUGACCAAGGGCAUCGGCUUUAGAAUCAGACUGAUGUGAGUUCGAAUCUUGGCGACCUUCUCUCUGUGACCUUGAGCAAGCAUCUGAGCGCUCUGAGCUUUGGCCUCCUGUCUUUAACAUGGGGCUCCGCCAUGGCUCUCAGUGUUCCUCAGGGUCACACUGAAGGACGCAGUGGAGAGAGAGCAUUCAGCAGGGCGCCUGGCACAAGCUUCACAACAACCCAGAAGGCAGCUGCUGGAAGAAUCUCCAUUUUAGAGAUGAGGAAACUGAGGUUUAAAGAGGUAUGUAAUAGCCCCAAAUCAUAAAGCUACUACUUGAGCAGAGAAUCAGGGGUGUUGGUCCUUGCUGGAGGAAUCCAGCGUGGGGAACCUGACCGGAGGCCCUCUGAGGCCCUCUGAUAGCAUCCCCUCCUUUAAAAGCAAAACUGAAGGGUCACGACCAAAAUUAUUCUGCUGGUGAGUGGUGGAGUUGCAGGUGGGGCCUGGGGAGUCCGAGGGUCAGGAAAAAAGCAAGCGUCACGUCUGGGGAGUAAACUGGUACCCUUCCCAGUGUAUCCGGUUCCGCUCACUGAGUUACUGCACAAGGAGAGCUAGUUACUUCCUGGUGACAGUCGACUGACAUCAGGUUAAUUUUGGAUUCCUAUUGGCAGGACCUAAAAGAAAAUCUCCCUCACUUUCUUAGCGUGCUGUCUUCUUUUUGCCCUAAGGCAGAACUGGUCCCCUGGUCUGAAACUUUCCAGAACUCAUUUUAGUUCAAAUAAGAACCAAGCUGAUUCAUCUCCAUAAGGCACAAGGCUGUCAGUCUUACCUUCCUAAAACACCUGACGCUCCCUCCUCAGAAGCCUGCCAUGGCUCCCCAGUACCUACAGAUUAACAGCCAACCUCCUCUACGUCCAUCCCCAAGUGUGGCGGCAUCUCUUUGCACAACCUUCCCUGCAUCCCCCUCUCCAUCUCCCCAGAAUACACACAGCUCUCAGGACGCAGUUUUAACUUCAUCAGGAGUAACCUCCUCUUCUCAUCUGAGGCCACUAACGCCUUAUCUGCCAACUCAACAACCGUUUCUCCAUUCACCCCUUUUGCCUUACAUGCUGAACCCCAGUUUGCUCGUGGCAGUGAUGUGCCUAACUAAAAACACGGCAUUGCCCCUUCCUGGUAGGGUUGGGUGGCCAUGUGGCACAGUUCUGGUUGAGCUAAGGGCAGAAGUCCCUGAGAGGGGUGUCCCUUUCCAAAUGUAACAGUAAAGCCACACUAGGUAAAUGCUCUUUGUGCCUCACUCAUCCUACUUCCCCUUUCCUGGUAUGCAGAUGUGAGGCCUGGAGAUGCAGCAGGCCUUCCUACCACGAGAUGAUAGACCUGGGGCCAAAGGCCUAUACUCUAAGGGUGGCAGAGUAGAAAGACAGAGCCUGGGUCCCCAGCGGUACAGCUGAGGCAUUGUCCCACCCACUUUCUUGCUGUCUGACACAAAUAAGCCCCCAUCUGGUUAAGUCACCGGUGGGCAGGAUUUCUGUUGCUAACAGGUGAGUUCAAUGAUACCCGACACACCGCCAGACAUUGUUCCUCCUCAGUCAUGGGUCAGUUCUGAUGCUACCCCCUCUGAGAAAUCCUCCAUGGGUCCCUCAGAGCACAAGAACUGCACCCUUCAUCGUACUUCCACAGUAGUUACUUUUCUCAAUUCUAGCACCUAGUUAAUCCUGCUUUAUUUGGCCUGCUGGCUGCUCAAAUUCCUAGAGGGUAAGGCGUCUUGGUCUCACUGACGUCUCCAUAGUGUCUGGAGCAGUGCUUUGCAUCGAGGUUAGAUAGAUGCUCUAUCUCAGCAGCGCCUCUAUAACGUGUGGAGCAGCGCAUUGUCUGCAAACGUGGAGUGUGCAUGUUCUGGGGUCUGGCACUCUGCUUGCUAGCUGUUUGGUCUUGGGCAAGUUAGAGAACCUCUCCGUGCCCGUUUCCUCAUCUAUAAAAAGGAGAGGAUGACAGUACUUUACCCCGCAGGGUUGUCACGAAGACAACACAGUUUAAUCCUAAGCGCUUAGAACGGUCUCUGGCAUGUAAAACUGCUUAAUGACUCUAGGCUUUUAUUAGCGUGAUGAACAUUUCAGUUGCGGAGUGAACAAAUAAAUCAACACACAGCUGCGAAAUAAAUGAAUUAAGAGAUGAAAACUAGGAAAAUUCCUGAGUUCGGACCACUGGGCCAUGGUCACUCUUCCCUCUUUUCUGCCUUUACUUUUCAUUCUAACUACAACUUCCCAUAUCUGGGGAGCUGCUAUACUGGAGUGUUGUAAGGCUUGGCUUCAAACAUGGAAUUUGAUUUUUGCCAUGCGGCUUUGGGUCAGUUUGUUUCACCUCUCUGAGCUUAAGUUUCUUCCCCACUAAGCUUGGGAUAAUAAUAGUAUGUAUCUCAUAGGGUUACGGUGAGAAUUAAAUGAUAAAGCAUGUAAAAUAUACAGCAUUAUGCCCGGCAUACUGAAACAGUGUCAGCAAUUGUUAUCAAACACCGUCAUUAUUGUGUUUGUCAAAUGCAUGGCAUCCCACUGAAUCACAUGGUCCUGAUGUGGAUGGGAUGCUUGGGGUGGGGUCGCCUUUUGGCAUGUCAAGGUACACUGCAUUUACAUUGGGAGAAUACUUUUCUUGAGUGCCAACGAACAUUUGUGGCAUUUUGAUUUUUUUUCCUUUAAACAGGGAUUAGCUAAUAUAUCCGAUUUACCCCAGAACGUUGGCCUCCAAAUUUUCCCCUUAAAAGCUGUUAACUUCAAGUGGAUCCUUAGUUGACACCAAACCUGGCCGCAAGGUACGCGUGCACAUGAGAACAAUCGCAAAGAAGAGUGUUUAAACAGCAAUGAUAUUCCCACAGAUCGCGGAUCCAGUCAUUGUCGGUGACGCAUUUCAAUCUUACUUGUAGAUUUCCCGCCUUUGGCCUUAAAAGAUGUGUAUACAGCUUGAUAUAACUUUCCCUUUAAACUGAAACCGUUAUGUUAGCCCCAUUCAAGCACUUGGCGGCUCCAUUAAUCUAUUUUUACCAUUAAACGUGCCAUUUUACAAGAUAUUUAUUCCACUUGGUUGUCAUCCAAAUGCUUUUUGACAUCACUGCCCCGGGACUCAAGUUCUUUAACUGCCCUCAUAAAUAGAAAAUCCCCUUUUGACGGAAAUCUUGAAGAGCUCUCUGAACCUCACUCUCUUCACUUCAACAGGCAUUAAUUUCUGCUCUACAUAAAGGAGAGUGUGUGUGUGUGUGUGUGUGUUUUAAGAGGGUAACUGUGGGAGGUCUGAGCGACCCAAGGGAUGAAGGGGAGGGAUGCCUGCUCCCCAAAUCCUGCCCAGCUGGGCCUGCCUCAGACUUGGGGAGCUGCUAACUUGGAGGCAGAAGGCGAUCAUCAGGGAGCAGGUAGGACAGAAUUCUAGGGCCUGAAGAGACUUGGAGAUCCCUGGGGCCCAAGCUGGGCAGCGACACUUUCAAAGGGGAGGGGUCCAGGGAAAGUCAUUAUUUCCUCACCUUCCUCCUCCCUCACCUCCCAGACAAACAAAAGGCCAUCGCGGCAAUAGCUGAAGGCAGAGACCCCACUGGCUUUGAAGCCGAUCCAUCAGGUGGAAGCCUGAGCAAAUCACAACUUGGCUUCCCCGGCAAGUUUUCUCCGCAGCCUAACACACCACCCUCCUCCUCCCGGUCGUGCGCCGCCGCCUCCCGAGCUCCGCACAGCGACGAGGCCGAGGGGACGGUGCUGUGAUGCUCACUGGUUUCCAACUUUCCGCUCCUUUUCCAGCCUCCUGCAAAGCGGCUGGGAAAGGGGCAAGUUUGCAAAGGCGAAGAUACCAAGUCCUGGGGACGCCACAAAGGAGCCGCAACACCAACAAAGAUGAACCUCUCGUGGGGCAGACGAAAAGCCCCAGCUGCCGUUCCGGGGGGCGAUCGUGGGCUUGGGCGGGCUGCGGGCGCGGGCCCGCGGGCGGCGGGCAGCCGGGCCCGGGGGUCCCCAGGGUCCCCCGCCGCCCCUCCCCACGCGGGUUUCCCGGCACCUGAGCGGGGCGUGGGGACAGCGCCGCACUCCGGCCCGGCCCCCGGCAGGUAGCUGGGGCGGCCGCCCGCCCGCGCCGCGCGCCUGCUGCCUGCAGCCACCAGGAGCGCGGAGAGGAGAGGCAGCCUCAACCCACGGCGUCAUGCUUCCUGCCACCACAUUACGGCGAAUCGUCACCGGGAGAGGGGAGAA